CCUGGCGGCAGCAGUAGCGCGGGGUCCCACCUGACCCCAUGCCGAACUCAGAAGUGAAACGCCGUAGCGCCGAUGGUAGUGUGGGGUCUCCCCAUGCGAGAGUAGGGAACUGCCAGGC
This 118-nucleotide ribosomal RNA is filed under the name Salmonella enterica subsp. enterica. Lineage: Bacteria; Pseudomonadati; Pseudomonadota; Gammaproteobacteria; Enterobacterales; Enterobacteriaceae. The record is from RNAcentral.